RNAcentral lists this ribosomal RNA (956 nucleotides) under uncultured organism. Its description in RNAcentral is "bacterial SSU rRNA". It matches the Rfam family "Bacterial small subunit ribosomal RNA", at positions 55 to 988 of the family's 1533-position model. The record is from RNAcentral.
AUGCAAGUCGAACGCGAACGGCUCCUUCGGGAGCCUAGUAGAGUGGCAAACGGGUGAGUAACGCGUGGGUAACGUACCCUGAUCCUGGGAAUAACCCUCGGAAACGAGGGCUAAUACCGAAUGUGGCGAACGACCGGUUGGUCGCUCGCUAAAGGUGGCCUCUUCUAUGCUGCCGGGUUGGGAUCGGCCCGCGUCCCAUUAGCUAGUUGGUGAGGUAACGGCUCACCAAGGCCACGAUGGGUAGCCGGCCUGAGAGGGUGUACGGCCACACUGGCACUGAGACAAGGGCCAGUCCCCUAUGGGAGGCGCAGGCGGGAAUAGUUCACAAUGGGCGAAAGCCUGAUGACGCGACGCCGCGUGAGCGAAGAAGACCUUCGGGUUGUAAAGCUCUGUCAGGAGGGAAGAAGGCUCUACGGGUCAAUAGCCCGUGGGAUUGACGGUACCUCCAGAGGAAGCCCCGGCUAAAUACGUGCCAGCAGCCGCGGUAAUACGUAUGGGGCAAGCGUUGUCCGGAUUUACUGGGCGUAAAGGGCGCGUAGGCGGUUUGUUAAGUCGAAGGUGAAAUCCUCGGGCUCAACUCGAGAAUUGCCUUCGAUACUGGCAAACUAGAGUGGCGGAGAGGAAAGCGGAACUCUUGGUGUAACGGUGGAAUGUGUAGAUAUCAAGAGGAACACCGGUGGCGAAGGCGGCUUUCUGGACGCACACUGACGCUCAGGCGCGAAAGCGUGGGUAGCAAACAGGAUUAGAUACCCUGGUAGUCCACGCCAUAAACGAUGGGUACUAGUGUCGGGGUAUCGACCCCUCCGGUGCCGCAGUUAACGCACUAAGUACCCCGCCUGGGGAUUAUGGUCGCAAGGCUGAAACUCCAAAGGAAUUGACGGGGCCCCGCCACAAGCGGGUGGAGCAUGUGGUUUAAUUUCGACGCAACGCGAAGAACCUUACCUGGGCUUGACAUG